UACUCGAGUGGCGAACGGGUGAGUAACACGUGGGUGAUCUGCCCUGCACUCUGGGAUAAGCCUGGGAAACUGGGUCUAAUACCGGAUAGGACCGCACUUUAGUGUGUGUGGUGGAAAGUUUUUUCGGUGUAGGAUGAGCCCGCGGCCUAUCAGCUUGUUGGUGAGGUAAUGGCCUACCAAGGCGGCGACGGGUAGCCGGACUGAGAGGUUGGUCGGCCACAUUGGGACUGAGAUACGGCCCAG
This 243-nucleotide ribosomal RNA is filed under the name uncultured Actinomycetales bacterium. RNAcentral's name for it is "partial 16S ribosomal RNA". It matches the Rfam family "Bacterial small subunit ribosomal RNA", at positions 88 to 334 of the family's 1533-position model. Lineage: Bacteria; Bacillati; Actinomycetota; Actinomycetes; Actinomycetales. The record is from RNAcentral.